GAGCAACGCCGCGUGAGUGAAGAAGGUCUUCGGAUUGUAAAGCUCUGUCGUUUGGGACGAACGUGGAUUGUGUGAAUAAUGCAGUCUAAUGACGGUACCACAGGAGGAAGCCACGGCUAACUACGUGCCAGCAGCCGCGGUAAUACGUAGGUGGCGAGCGUUGUCCGGAUUUACUGGGCGUAAAGGGUGCGUAGGCGGAUAUUUAAGUCAGAUGUGAAAACCCCGGGCUUAACUUGGGGACUGCAUUUGAAACUGGAUAUCUAGAGUGCAGGAGAGGAAAGCGGAAUUCCUAGUGUAGCGGUGAAAUGCGUAGAGAUUAGGAAGAACACCAGUGGCGAAGGCGGCUUUCUGGACUGUAACUGACGCUGAGGCACGAAAGCGUGGGUAGCAAACC
RNAcentral lists this ribosomal RNA (394 nucleotides) under uncultured Eubacteriales bacterium. RNAcentral describes it as "bacterial SSU rRNA". It matches the Rfam family "Bacterial small subunit ribosomal RNA", at positions 389 to 774 of the family's 1533-position model. The record is from RNAcentral. Lineage: Bacteria; Bacillati; Bacillota; Clostridia; Eubacteriales.